UUUUUUUACAACUACCACCUAUAAAUACAUUUUUAUUGUGGAAUGAUUGUACCCAUUUCAGUUUUUCAGAAAUUGGGUUCUCUCUCAACUCUCUUGGCUCUAUUAUCUCUCUCUUCAGCCCUUCUCUCUCUUCAGCCCUUCUCUCUCCCUCGUGUAACUCUCUCUCUCUCUCCGACGCAAUCGUCUUUCUCCCUCAGCGGUGGCUAUUCAUCCAAGCUUAACUCCACGAUUCACAUCCACGAGAGAAAAUCCAAUGAUGCAGAAGUCGAGUCACUGCGAUAGGAAUACCAUCAAAGGGUUGCAACACUUGAAAGGAAGCUCCUGAUAAUUGGAGGGGCUAUGCCAACUUAUGAUUGCAGGUGUAUGCUCUUACAAAGGAAAGGGACACGCUUCGGCGGGAGCAGAAUAAGAAAGGUGAUGCAGCUGCUCCUCUGAAGGAAAAGGAUGAAAUAAUUAAUCAAGUUAUGGCUGAAGCUUCAGGAUUAUGGCCUUCGUUUACUGAAAGGAAAUUGCUAUUUGAUCCUGUUAUAUCUUUUAUGGGACAAACAAAUGAGGGAAGUAGUGUUGAUUCAUCACAGAAAGCUGAGUCUUCAGAGCAUCCGCCAAAGGUUGACAAAUCAUCAGGGGAAUCUGAAUCUCCACAAAAACUCUCUACUGUUGAGGCAAAGGAAGGGGUCAAAACAGAAACUUUACAACACUCUUCAACUUAACAGAUGGCUGAUAAGGAGGAAACUGAAGUUGUCAAGGAAGAAACAGAUGAUAAGCAUGCUGCGACAGUGGAGGAAACAGAGACUGUGGUAGCAGAGCCUGAAAAAUCUGAAUCUGAAUCUGAAAAAUAGAAAAUCUAUAUGUUGGGGGUUUUCUGGCUAGCUAAAAAUUUAUUAUAAUGGCAAAACUAGCAGGUGGCCCUAGUGAGAGAGAUCAGCAUGCAGGGAUGGAUGAGGACUAAUUUUGUGUGUAUGACAAUUGACUAUCUUUGCUUGUAUUGCUCUAUGUUAGGGAUCUUUUGUUCCAUUUUAGUAACAAUUUUGUUUAGGAGAAAAAGAAACAUAUUGCAGUUCAUGCUUUGUAAAUGCCACUAUUAUGUUAUGAUGGACGCGUGGUAUGCCCUUGUUGGGUAGGUUUUGGAUUGAAACCAUGGUCGAGUGCUUGAGCCAUGUUUAGUGUGAAGCUUGAAUGGAUUUUCUUUUCUGUUGUA
Long non-coding RNA from Prunus dulcis (almond), 1198 nucleotides. RefSeq lists it as uncharacterized. The record is from RefSeq and is a predicted model, not a curated record. The transcript is spliced from 5 exons. NCBI's taxonomy places the organism in Eukaryota, Viridiplantae, Streptophyta, Magnoliopsida, Rosales, Rosaceae.